RNAcentral lists this ribosomal RNA (254 nucleotides) under uncultured bacterium. RNAcentral describes it as "partial 16S ribosomal RNA". It matches the Rfam family "Bacterial small subunit ribosomal RNA", at positions 524 to 776 of the family's 1533-position model. The record is from RNAcentral.
UACGUAGGAGGCAAGCGUUGUCCGGAGUUACUGGGCGUAAAGCGCACGCAGGCGGUCCUAUUAGUCUGGGGUGACAGUUCCCGGCUUAACCGGAAAAGGACUCUGGAAACUGUAGGACUUGAGGGCUUCAGAGGGAUGUGGGAAUUCCAGGUGGAGUGGUGAAAUGCGUAGAGAUCUGGAAGAACACCAAAGGCGAAGGCAGCAUCCUGGGAAGUUCCUGACGCUCGGGUGCGAAAGCCAGGGGAGCGAACGGG